UAGAUCUAGUAGUGGCCUUCCCAUCAGGACACUCUACCCAGAAACACAACAUAUACCCUGACACACGAUGGGGUUUGCACUUCAGCUGUGUUUGGUGGCCCUGUUGUUUGCCAGUGGAGUGGCAAAAGCACAAAAAAUAGGACCUAUUUUUGUAGAAAAUCCUUUUCCUUAUGAUGGAGCAUCUGUACCAAUUGAACUUGAGCAAACAUUUGUGUAUGCUGGAAGGAAUUACUCACAACUUUACCUCAGCAUGAAUGGCUUUCUCUCAUUCUUUUCCCCACCUGAUGAGUUUUACCCUACUCCUUUCGUGGCCCAAGAUGGAAUUUUUCCAAUGUGGGUCGACAUUGAAAACGAUGAGGGGGGAGACGUUUGGUAUUUCCAAGACA
Electrophorus electricus (electric eel) is the source of this 386-nucleotide non-coding RNA. Lineage: Eukaryota; Metazoa; Chordata; Actinopteri; Gymnotiformes; Gymnotidae. The record is from RefSeq and is a predicted model, not a curated record.